CAGUCGCCGCGGUAAUACGUAGGUGGCAAGCGUUGUCCGGAAUUAUUGGGCGUAAAGGGCCCGCAGGCGGUUUCUUAAGUCUGAUGUGAAAGCCCCCGGCUCAACCGGGGAGGGUCAUUGGAAACUGGGAAACUCGAGUGCAGAAGAGGAGAGUGGAAUUCCACGUGUAGCGGUGAAAUGCGUAGAGAUGUGGAGGAACACCAGUGGCGAAGGCGACUCUCUGGUCUGUAACUGACGCUGAGGAGCGAAAGCGUGGGGAGCGAACAGGAUUAGAUACCCGGGUAGUCCCUGUCUCUUAUAC
This 301-nucleotide ribosomal RNA is filed under the name uncultured bacterium. RNAcentral's name for it is "partial 16S ribosomal RNA". It matches the Rfam family "Bacterial small subunit ribosomal RNA", at positions 509 to 807 of the family's 1533-position model. The record is from RNAcentral.